This 68-nucleotide transfer RNA is filed under the name Lepidodactylus orientalis. RNAcentral's name for it is "tRNA-Trp". Lineage: Eukaryota; Metazoa; Chordata; Lepidosauria; Squamata; Gekkonidae. The record is from RNAcentral.
AGAAAUUUAGGUUAAAACAAACCAAGGGCCUUCAAAGCCCUAAAUAGACGCCCAAGCGCUAAUUUCUG